RNAcentral lists this long non-coding RNA (963 nucleotides) under Arabidopsis lyrata. RNAcentral describes it as "long non-coding RNA (ALYR_LNC001476)". Lineage: Eukaryota; Viridiplantae; Streptophyta; Magnoliopsida; Brassicales; Brassicaceae. The record is from RNAcentral.
CUCCUCCUAAUAUAAAAACCACCAGCAAAUUCCCUAAUGCAUUCUUCUCCGGACCCUUCACAAAAUACAAAAUCAGAUUAAAUAUGCAGGUAGGGGUUGAUUGUUUAUAACUGUGUUUGUAUUUAUAAGUAAAAAAAAAACUUGUGUUAUAUUUUGAAAUUGUAAAAGCAAAGGGUAUAGUAUGCCACAAUUUUUUUUUUUUGUAAAAUGAAUGCGUUUUGUUUUCUAUAUAUAAAUCUAUAAUAAUACUAAAAUGUAAGUUUAUAGAUAUAAUCAAUUUAUUCUGGUUAAAAGUAGGAAGAGUAGAUAGAUUACCGUGUAUCCUUUAGGAGCUAUAGUCAUAAUGCAAACAGUGAGAUGUCCAGUAGUUAUUCCCAAAAUAGAAACGAGCAUAAUCAUCCAUCCUUUAUCACCAUAUUUUGCAGUGAAGUAGAAUGCGGGAACGAGAAAAUAACGUGAUAAAACCGCUAUCGUUAGUGCUGUUCUAUUCUCAACCUUCAACCAAUUCAGCAGCGGUGCGUACCUCCCGACCAAAUCCCAAAAAUUGUAUGUCGCUACUAGGAUAAGUGCAUACCAAUCGCCUAGUCCGUGUUGUCCCGUGUUUUCGUAUAAGAAUCCAGGAAAAAUGGAUAAUGUCAAAACGUAGAUGAGGAAUAGAUUCACUGCAUGGUCUAUAUUUUGAAGCAACAGCUCUUUCUUGCUUAGCCUUUGAUUCUUCGAAUUAUCAUCACUCUGCAUAGAAAACUCAUGAAGCUAAAUAAUGUUUAAGACUUAAGAGUGGGAAAAGUUUUAGAAUCAAGAAAGAUACUCUUGACGAAUUUUUUAAAGAAACCAAGAAAGGAAAGAUUCUUGAGGAAUCUGAUGUUACCAAAUCUGAUUGAUUUUGGAUACCAGCAGCAGCAAGAUCAGCAACAACAGUUUUGGAUCCUUCAGAAGCCGCUUUUCUUCGGUAAUACUUAACGA